This 334-nucleotide unclassified non-coding RNA is filed under the name soil metagenome. RNAcentral's name for it is "partial contains 5.8S ribosomal RNA, internal transcribed spacer 2, and large subunit ribosomal RNA". The stretch from base 1 to 120 matches the Rfam family "5.8S ribosomal RNA", at positions 35 to 154 of the family's 154-position model. The record is from RNAcentral.
GAUGAAGAACGUAGCAAAAUGCGAUAAGUAGUGUGAAUUGCAGAAUUCAGUGAAUCAUCGAAUCUUUGAACGCACAUUGCGCCCGCCAGCACUCUGGCGGGCAUGCCUGUUCGAGCGUCAUUUCAACCAUCAAGCCCCAGGCUUGCGUUGGAGCCCUGCGGCUGCCGCAGCCUCCUAAAAGCAGUGGCGGGCUCGCUAUCACACCGAGUGCAGUAGAUUACUCUUCGCUCAGGGCGUGCAGCGGGUUCCGGCCGUGAAACCCCCUACUUUUAAAGGUUGACCUCGGAUCAGGUAGGAAUACCCGCUGAACUUAAGCAUAUCAAUAAGCGGAGGA